AUAACUAUGUAAAUAUCACAGAAACGUCUUUGUAAAUAUAACCCUGUUGUUUAUAUGUUCAGGAAUACGAGCAUCAGUGCAGUGCUGAAGCCACGUUUGUGAAAGAAUUAGAUCAAUGUGAAAUGAUCCUACAGGCUCUGGAGUAUGAGGAACUGGAGAAGAGACCAGGAAGAUUGCAGGACUUUUAUAACUCAACAGCAGGUCAGUAAUGGUUUCCAUUCACAGUACAUAGGAGAGGGAUUUGUCUUGUGAAUUGUCAUAUUAUGCACUGAUAUUUGACCAUACAUAUAGUAAUAAAAGUUCCCCAUGGUGCCGUGACAUUAAUUGCUCUAAAUGAGACAAGUUACCAAAUUCCUAAAUGUCAAGUUAUUUUUGUUGUAAAAGAUAACAUCUUAUUCCAGGUCAGGAAGUGGAGAUUGAAAAUCAUUUGUGGUAUUAAUAACUAAUAACAAGGAAUAAUGAAGUAUUGCCAACUGCUAAAAGUUUAGACAAGAUAUGCAAAUUCAUGUAUAAAUGGUUUAUUUUCAUGUCAUGAUAUAACAUGAAACCUAAACAAUGCAAUAUCUGCUUGUAUGUAUUUUGGGUGAGUAAAUGUAUAGGCAUCUAGCAUAGAUUCAUAUCUGAUGGUUCUUUAUAGUAGAUCCUCAAAAUGUUUGGAUGCCCUGUCCAACUUUAGGUCACUUUGCUUCAUUUGCAUUUUGCUAUAUUAGUAUUUGUUAUAGCAGGAAGAGAGAAAAUAUUUCAAAAAUCAUAGUAGACAUUCCUUUACAUGUUAAUUCUCUCAGUUGAUAACAAACGGAUGCAAGCAAAUCAUUUUAUAAUUCUAUUUUGAUUUACACAUUUUUUAGCAUGUCAUAACAGCAAAUCUGAAAUCAAAUCAGUGCUAUUUACAAUAUGCUUUUUAAAUAGGUUAUGGUGCAAGGAAGUGCCCUCUCUCUGCUACAUGGCAUGCACAUGUUAUAAAAAUCCCCAUCUAUACCAACAGGCUCCCUUACUGCUUACCUUAAUAUAUUUGAGUCACAAAUACAUGCUCACAAUACUGUAAAUGGAAUUGAUGGAAGUGCUAAAUUACAAAAUCAGCUCUAUUGAAAUUAUGAGGCUAACAUAAUUAUCUUGGCUUUUGUUUUGGUUACACUUCCACUGCAGAAUCUUGAAAUUUUGCAACACAUUUUUUUCCAUAAUUACAGUAUGUUUUGUUGUUUUUUAAAGUGCCUUGAUAUUAUUAUUAUUAUUAUUAUUAUUAUUAUUAUUAUGAUAUUUAUAGAGCGCCGUCAAAUUCCGCAGCGCUUUACAAUGGGUGGACGAACAGACAUGUAGUUGUAACCAGACAAGUUGGACACACAGGAACAGAGUGGUUGAGGGCCCUGCUCAAUGAGCUUACAUGCAGAGGGAGUGGGGUAAAAUGACACAAAAAGGUAAGGGUAGUAUUAGACUAGUGACAGUUGCAGAAGAGGAAUAAGUCAAGAGGUAUUAACAGUUUAAUUGAAACGCUUUUAAGAAGUGGGUUUUUAACGAUUUUUUGAAGGAGUGGAGACUGGGUGAGCAUCUAACGGAGGAGGGAAGCGAGUUCCACAGGAACAGUGCAGCCCUCGAGAAAUCUUGAAGGUGAGCAUCAGAGGUGGGAGUACGGACAGAAGAUAGACGUAAGUCUUCAGCAGAUCGUAAGGGCCUAGACGGGACAUACUUGUGUAUAAGGGAGGAUAGAUAGGUGGGAGCAGCAUUAUGUAGAGAUUUGAAAGCAAGAACCAUAAUUUUAAAUUGAGCUCUCUAUUUUAUAGGAAGCCAAUGUAGGGACUAACAGAAGGGAAAGGCAUGGGAGGUGCGGGCGGACAGGAAGAUGAGCCUCGCCGCCGCAUUCAUUAUGGACUGUAACGGCGCUAGUUGGGAGCACGUAAGACCAAUGAGAAGCAGAUUACAGUAGUCAAGGCGAGAAAGGACAGUAGAAUGGACCACCUUAGUCGCAUCUGGCGUUAAGUAGGGGCGGAUGCGCGCAAUAUUUUUGAGAUGGAAAUGACAGGAUUUGGUGAUUGAACAUGAGGCUUGAAGGAGAGGUCGGAGUCAAAGAGAACACCUAGGCAGCGAGCCUGCGUGGUGGAGCUCAUGGUAGCUCCGUUGACUUGGAGGGAGACAGACACAGGAGUAACAACAUUUGAGGGAGGAAAGACCAGAAUUUCAGUUUUGGUCAAGUUUAGUUUAAGGAAGUGGGCAGCCAUCCAGUUAGAAACAGCAGAGAGGCAGUCAGAGACACUAGUCAAGAGGGACGGGGAGAGAUCAGGAGAGGACAGGUAGAUUUGCAUGUCAUCUGCAUAGAAAUGAUAUUGGAAGCCAAAGGAGCUAAUGAGUUUACCAAGGGAGGCAGUAUAGAUGGAGAACAGUAGGGGACCAAGGACUGAACCUUGGGGAACACCAACAGAGAGGAGUUGGGGAGAAGAAGCAGAGCCAGAGAAAGAAACACUGAAAGAGUGCUGGGAGAGGUUGGAGGAGCACCAGGAGAGAGCAAUAUCUUGUAGACCGAUAUUGCGGAGGAUGAGAAGAAGCUGUUGAUGAUCAGCAGACAGGUCAAGGAGAAUUAGGAUAGAGUAGUGACCACGAGAUUUUGCAGCGAGUAGAUCAUUGGAUACUUUGGUCAGUGCCGUUUCCACAGAGUGCUCAGCGCGGAAACCAGACUGAAGCGGGUCUAGUAGAGAGUUGGACUCGAAGUCUGUCAAUCUUGCAUACAUCAUUUUUUCAAGGAUCUUGGAUGCAAAAGGCAGUAGCAAGAUAGGACGAUAGUUGGAUGGGGAGUUAGGGUUAAGAUUGGGCUUCUUUAGAAUUGGGGUUACAGUUGCAUGUUUGAAGGGCAAUGGAAAUAUACCAGAGGAGAGAGAGAUUGAGAAUUUUAGUGAGAGGUGGAGAAAGAGAAGAAGACAGAGUACGGAUGAGAUGUGAGGGAAUUGGAUCUAAGUAGCAGGUGGUGGGGUGGGAGGACUGGAGCAGAGCAGAAACCUCUUCCAAUGUAGCAGUUGCGAAUGAACAUAGAACAGCAGAGGGAGUGAUGUAAGGGGAAGAAGAAAAAUGAGAGAUCUCUUCUCUGAUUGUAGAGAUCUUGUCAGUGAAGUGAGUUGCAAAGUCUGAGGCGGUCAAGUUAGUAGGUGGAGGAGGAACAGCAGGGCGAAGAAGAGUUAAAUGUGUGAAAUAGUCGUUUGGGUUCGCGGGAGAGUGUGGUUAUGAGGGUAUUGAAGUAACUUUUGCAGAGGAAAGAGCCAAGCUGUAUGAGCUCAGCAUAAAUUUAUAGUGGAGAAAGUCCGAUGCACAGUGAGACUUUCUCCAACAGCAUUCAGCAGUUCUGGAGCAUUUUUGGAGGUAUCGAAUGAGCUUGGUGUGCCAGGGUUGUUGUUGGGGGCGCCUGCGGCGUUCAAAUGUACAAGGUGCCAUGAUGUUUAGUUGAGAGGAGAGGGUGGAAUUGUAGAAGGAGGUUGCAGAACAAGGACAGGUGAGGUUUGAGAUAGGUAAAAGGAGAGUUUGGAGAUUAGUGAAGGAAAUACUCUAGGUCAAGACAUUGGAGGUUUCUGUGAGAGUGAGGUUCAGACGGUGUUGUCAAUUGGGUCUUAGGUAUGCUAGUGUCAAAAGUCAGCAGAUGGUGGUCAGAUAGAGGAAAAGGAAUAUUGGAGAGAUUAGAGGCAGUACAGAGGUUGGUGAAGGCAAGAUCAAGAGUGUUUCCCACUGUAUGGGUUGCUAGAUUGGACCAUUGCGUAAGGCCAAAGGAGGAGGUUACAGAGAGCAGACGAGAGGCAUCAUGCAAUUGGGUUUAUUUAUUGGGAUAUUGAAAUACACAAGUAUAAGGGAAGGAGUGCAAGAUGAGAGGAAGUGGGGAAGCCAGGAAGAAAAGUGCUCAAUGAAUAGUCUAGGAUAACCAAGGGGGCGGUAGAUUAUAGCAAUUCUUAAAGGAGUGGAUUUAAGUAGGCGGACAGUGUGAACUUCAAAAAAAGGAUAGGGCAGGGGGAGUUAUGAUUGGUUGAAAGGUACAUUGAGGGGAGAGAAGGAUGCCUACGCCGCCUCCUUUACAGUUGAGUCUGGGAGUGUGAGUCUGAGAGAAUUGUAGCCCACCAAAACAUAAAGAGGCAGGAGUAGCGCUAUCAGAGGGGGACAGCCAGGUCUCUGUAAGUGCAAGCAGUGUGAGCGAGUUUGAGAUGAAAAAGUCGUGUAUGGUUGUUGAUUUUAAAUUACUGCAGAUGGAGCGGGCAUUCCAGAGUGCACAAUUAAAGCGGCACUGUCAUGCCGAAUCCCGUUUUUUUUUUUAACCCCCCUCCCGCCUCCACUACAUCCAAUUGACUCCCUAGUCACCCCCAAAUGCCCCUAAGCCCCCCACAUUACCUAUUUUUUAAUCCUUAUUUUCUGCCCCAAUCUAUAUUCAGGGCGCCGCCAUCUUUGUGUGGGUAGAUGAAGUCCCUGUGGGACACGUCAUCUGCCCACACUAGACAGACUGUGAGAUUCCCGCACAUGCCCAGUGAAACACCUGGACAUGCGAACGGGAAUUUCAUCUAUUCAUUCAUUCAUCCAUCAGACAGACGAAUGAAUGAAUAGAAAUGUCAAACGAACAAACUAACACAAUGUAUCAGUGUUAGUUUGUUCGUUCAGUUUAUUACAAGGAGGGAGCUACCGGCACGCAGCUCCCUCCUUGUAAUAUGUAACUAUAGAAGCGGCAGGGAGCAGUGGGGGCUCUUACAAAACAAUAGGGGUGGGGGGACCUACUGUCCUCCCCCCCUGGCCCCCACCCCUGCGCGGUGGGUGGGGGCCCUAAUAAAACAAUAAUUGGGGGGGACCUACUAUCCUCCCCCCUAGCCCCCACCCCUGAGCGGUGGGUGGGGGCCCUAAAUAAAGAUAUGGGGGGGAACUUCUGUCCUGCCCCGGCCCCCACCCCUGAGCGGUGGGUGGGGGCCCUUAUAAAACAAUAAGGGGGGGGACCUACUGUCCUCCCCCCCUGGCCCCCACCCCUGCGCGGUAUGGGGGCCCUAAUAAAACAAUACAGGGGCCUACUGUCCUCCCCCAGACCCCACCCCUGAGCGGUGGUGGGGGGCCUAAAUAAGGUAUGGGGGAACUUCUGGCCCCACCCUGUCGCGGUGGGUGGGGGCCCUAAUAGAAGCUGUGGGGGGGGACUACUGUCCUCCUCCCCGGCCCCACCCCUCUUGUGAUUGGGUGGGGCUAAUAAAAGCUAUUAAGGGGGGACCUGCACAGUGUCCUCCCCUGGCCCCCCCCCACCCCUGCGAUUGGGUGGGGCCCUAAUAAAACAAUAGGGGGACCCAUGCACUCCCCUGGCCCCCACCCCUAGUAGUUGGUGGGGGCCCCUAAAUGAAACACACACACCACCCCAAUCAAGGUGACUGGGGUCCCAAGCCCUAGUCACCCCACCCAAAAACUAUCCCCAACCUACCUCACCCUAAAAUAGUGAAGGGAAAUAACAAACCUGUAAACAAAAAAAUUAAACUUACCAUUUGACGUCUUCUUUUUUCUAAAAUCUUCUUUCUUCGGCCCCCAAAAAGGCCAAAUAAAAAUCCAUCAUAACCGUCGCACUUUAAAAAAAAAAAAACGAGCGCAAAAAUAAAUAAAUCCAUGUUCGCCCUUCGAGGGCACGCCGCGUACUGAGCUCCGAAGGGCGGGUCAAGGCUUAUAAAGCUGUGCCCCGCCCUGAAUUAGGCUUAGAACACUCUGAUUGGUGGGUUUAAGCCAAUCAGAGUGCUCUGUGUCAUUUUACACAGCGUGGGAGAGUUCUUUUGAAUUUUCCCACGCUGUGUAAAAUGACUCAUAACACUCUGGUGUAUUAAGUAACCAAUCAGAGUGCUCUGAGUCAUUUUACACAGCGUGGGAAAAUUCAAAAGAACUUUCCCAUGCUGUGUAAAAUGACACAGAGCACUCUGAUUGGGUGGCUUUCAAGCGUGGGGCCAGGGGGGGAGGACAGUAGGUCCCCCCCCCUUAUUGUUUUAUUAGGGCCCCCACCCACCGCGCAGGGGUGGGGGCCGGGGGGGGACAGAAGUAACAAACCUGUAAACAAAAAAAUUAAACUUACCAUUUGACGUCUUCUUUUUUCUAAAAUCUUCUUUCUUCGGCCCCCAAAAAGGCCAAAUAAAAAUCCAUCAUAACCGUCGCACUUUAAAAAAAAAAAAAACGAGCGCAAAAAUAAAUAAAUCCAUGUUCGCCCUUCGAGGGCACGCCGCGUACUGAGCUCCGAAGGGCGGGUCAAGGCUUAUAAAGCUGUGCCCCGCCCUGAAUUAGGCUUAGAACACUCUGAUUGGUGGGUUUAAGCCAAUCAGAGUGCUCUGUGUCAUUUUACACAGCGUGGGAGAGUUCUUUGAAUUUUCCCACGCUUGUGUAAAAUGACCAUAACACUCUGGUGUAGUAAUUAAUAGAGCUUGAAGUCAUUUAUACACGGGAAAAUCAAAAGAACUUUCCCAUGCUGUGUAAAAUGACACAGAGCACUCUGAUUGGUGGCUUUCAAGCGUGGGGCCAGGGGGGGAGGACAGUAGGUCCCCCCCCCUUAUUGUUUUAUUAGGGCCCCCACCCACCGCGCAGGGGUGGGGGCCGGGGGGGGACAGAAGUUCCCCCCCAUAUCUUUAUUUAGGGCCCCCACCCACCGCUCAGGGGUGGGGGCUAGGGGGGAGGAUAGUAGGUCCCCCCCAAUUAUUGUUUUAUUAGGGCCCCCACCCACCGCGCAGGGGUGGGGGCCGGGGGGGGACAGAAGUUCCCCCCCAUAUCUUUAUUUAGGGCCCCCACCCACCGCUCAGGGGUGGGGGCCAGUAGGUCCCCCCCAUCUUUAUUUAGGGCCCCCACGGGCAUGGGGGGGGGGUAUUAGUUUUUUUUUGUUUGUUUGUUUGUUUUUUACAGUGAGCAGCUAUAAGCUGCUCACUGCUUACUACACAUGCCCCUACUCGCGGUAUAGCGAGUAGGGGCAUAUUAUUUACUAAUACUAAGUAAUUUUUACUUAGUAUUAGUAAAGUUGGCUGAAAGACCAAUUUAGGUCUUUCAGCCUUUUAGUAGAUAGCUCCCUGAUACCGUGGGAAUUAGGGAGUUAUCUACUAAGCGGCUGCAAGAUGCAGCCACAGCAAGAAUAGGAUCGGAGUUUCAUUCAUUAGAAUUAAAUUCCGAUCCGAAUAAAGUGCCGAAUUGUGUUCUAAAAGAAACGAACAUACUGUUCUCAUUCAGUUAGAACGCAAUUUGGCAGUUUUAGCCAAAAUGACAGGAAGCAUUGUGGGAACACAAAGGGAAGGUGAGAAUCAUGGGAAAAUUGCUCUGACCAGCGGAAAUGAAGCACACUUUGCUCCUCCGCUGGUCAGAGCUGGUCAAGCGGAGGAAUCCUCCAUAAGGCAAAGAGUCCCUACUUUGUCUUAUGAUUUUAAAGAAAACUAAAGAAGACAGGAAGAAAAGAAUAACAGAUCCUGAGAGAGGGGGAGAAGAGGAAGAGAUUGAGGAAAGGUAAGUUUGGCAUGACAGUGCCGCUUUAAUUUUGGUAAGUGAGGGUAAAGGGCAGGGUAUUGUGAUGAGGUUUGUGGGGUUUCUGGUUGUCUUAGUGUGUGUAGAGAAGGUGAAGGGCCCUGGAUUGGGAGAGACAUCACCAGCUGCUAGAAGUAGGAGGAGAGAAAGUGACAGGAGGUGUGAAUGGGUUUUGUAUGCAUGGGGUCUCGGAUGAGAUCGAUUGUGGGUUGGAGUGAGAGAGUAGAAAAAUGAGUGUAAGGCAUGAGAUGAGAGAAGGCGGUAGUGUAGCAGAGAAGGGCAUAUGUAAAUGUGGAUGGGGGAUGAGUGAAGUGGGUGUAAGGAGAGAUUUUUAUACUGAGGGAGACUGAGGAAAUAAAGAGGAGGAGAAAACAGAUCAUUGCUAAACUGUGAAAAAUAAAAAUUGGAGAUAAUUGGAAUAUCAAGAGCAGGUGAAGGUGUUUUAUGGGUUAAGAAAGUGCAGGAGUGUACUAAUAAGAGGCAGAUUUUUUUAACCUAACUAAAAUGUAGGUGUGACAGACAAUCUAUAAAUGUAAUAAUGAGCAUGGGGUGGGAUGGUGUGGGGAGGGUGGGCAUCAGGCUUGCUCACAGAAGGAAUGGGCUUGCAAAGUUAGGGAAUCAGGCUGUUGAAUAGAGAGAGCUUGCAAUAAAGGUAAGGGUAUUCAUAAAGUAUACCGGUACACACCUUGUUUAAAUGAAAGUGCAUUAUCAUCAUCUUUACAUUUGUAGCAGAAAUUAUUUCAAAUGUGUAUAUUUUACAUUUUGAUUCUCUUCAGAAAUUUGGCCUCUUCCCUAACCUGUCGAUCAUCUCUUGGCAUUGACAUCACUAUCAACAAAAAGUACAAUUGCGGUUAGAAAUCUAGACUAAAGUAUUGGAGUAAUAUCCAUAAGCUUGGAGUCAAUCACAUGUUCUGAUCCAGGAGAAAUAUUCAGUUCAUACCAGCCAAAAAAAGUUUGGCUCAAACCAGCUAUUAAGGAGAAAUAAAGUACAUUUAUUUCUUGAUUAAAACCUUUUGACCGGGACACAGCAUGUUUCACAUGCUUGCAGAGGGAUUAUAAGACAUUCUGAUGCAGAUAAGCUGCCAGUGGAGCAAGCGUAAUCACAGUGGAGGGUUGCCAUGCUUGUAGCAAAGGACUGGGUGUUACAGAAGUUUAAUAUGAGAAUGCCAGCAUUUAAGCGAGGGGGAGCAGGUAAGUACAACUUUAGAAGCUCCCAGUGCAACAAUAUACAUGUUUUAUCACUAUAAUAAAAAAAAUAUAUUUACUGCCUUGGGAGCUGCUACAGCUUAAAGGAACACUCUGGGCACCAUAACAACUUCAUUGAAAUUAAGCUGUUAUGAUGCCUGGAGGCCCCUGGCGCAAACUCAUAUUUUGGGGUUUAACUGUUCAGGAGAGCGAAUCAGUAGCUUCACAUGCAUUAAAAAAAAAAAGGCAUAGGAGCUACUGAUUGGUUUAGAACGUCAGCGUAUCCACUUUUUAACAAUCAGCGGUGCGAGGAUUUCAGUAAACAGAAGGAUAGUGGGCAGAACAAUCUGGCACUGAAACAUAGAUUCUGGGGUUAAAAUGUUGGUGAAAGGCUCGUAAAAGUUUGUGAACCGUUUAACCCCUUAAGGUAACCUUCUGACACCAUAACAGCAAUAUUUUGAUUAAGUUGUUAUGGUGCACAAACUUUAAGGUGAACAUGUUGUGACAAGUUCACUUUAGUCAAAGGGCUCACCAUAGCCUAAAAUGUUUUUAAGGUUGUUUACCUGUUUACCACAUAGCUUAUAUUUAUCUGAUGAAUUAUUUAAAUAUUUUAUCAAACAAAGUAUUACAGAUCACUUUUUUUUUCCCCCCCAGGAAAAUUUAAACAUCCAGAAAUUGUUCAGCUUGUUUCGGCGAUCUAUGAAGAGAGAGACUCCAAUAUAGCAUCACAAAGUACUGGUCCUCCUCCUUAAAUUGUUGUUGAUUAAAAAUAAAAUAUUUAUAUAUUUUAUAUCUGUAUCUCAUUUGUAAAUCCACAGUACUUUUCACAAUAGGCUUUUUUUUCAUAACAUUGAACAUAUUGUGAAUAUAUACAUCAGUGUAAGCAAUACAGUUUGUUCAUAUUACCUUUAAUAUAUGCCUACUGUUUGAAAAUACAUGCAUACAUACAUUUUUAACCAUCACACAGAACAGUUAAAUAAUCUAAAGGCUUAAAGGACCACUCCACACUUGAAAAAGCACCAAACAAAAAAACAGUUUAUGAAUAUAUGCAUGCACAUUUUUAUGUGUGUGUUCAUUGGAAGUAUAGUCUAAAACAGCUAGCAAAAGCUGCAGUUCUUAUGACUGCAACCUUUGUAAGCCCUGCUCCUUCUUAUUUUUCACCAUAAGUGGCUAUCACUUCAUGGAGAAUUGUCCAUUCCGAGGCUUUUUUUGAUCGUCAAUAUUUUAGUUUUUGGGUGUUUAGUACGUACUGUCUAUGAGCUGCCGUGACAUACAUAUUCAUCCAUUUCCCCUUACCAUCCCCUGAGUGAAAGCGGCGAUCCGACAUGCCAUCUCCCCCACCCCUCAACACACUUCUAUCAUAUUAGCCCCCUCCCCCCCAGUAUGACUUGGCUGUCUUGGACUAAGCUGGCCAAGUGGUUGGUCCCGGUAAGGUAAAAUCCGCCGGUGGUGUAAUGGAGAGUUCGUGGAGGAAUUUCAUCAUGUCGUUCCCUGGUAGGUAGUUAGGUAUACGUUCUUCCCACCUUAAAGUCCACUAUUUUAAAUGGGUGUCCCCAGGUAAACCGGAUCCCUUUGUGGUGCAGUACAUCUGCCAUCGGUUUCCAGUCGCGUCUGCGUUGUAAGGUGCCUGGAGAGAGAUCUUGGUACAGAGCGCUCUUGGUACCUUGAUAUGUGAGCUUGUGAUCUCUUUUGUAUCGCAAGAUGGCUUCCUUGGUGGUAUAGUAAUGGAAGCGUAGGAUAAUAGACCGAGUGCUCAGAGCACAAAGUGCCACGGGACAUCACCAUUUUUAUCUUGGGAUGUCAGGCAGCUGGUGCUGGAAGUAGUCCUCCAUUUUUUUGCAGUAGUGGGCCUUCAUUAGGCGUUUAUGGUAGGCCUCUUAUGCGCAAGUUAUUGUACCUUAAUCGGUUUGAUAAAUCCUCUAUUAGCAUUUCCAAGUUGCAGAGCUGCUGUUCAGGGUGGAGUGUACUACUGAGUUGUGUGCCUUCACUACUGUUUCAGCUCUGUGUUCUAGGUCAGCAUUGCGCUUCCCCAGGGCCUGAAUCUCGGCCUUGACUUCCUGAGAUUUGUGAGCAAUUUCGUCUGCCAGGUAAGAUCUCACCUCCGAUAGUAUGGAGAGUUUUUGGGUAGUAUCUCCAGGCUAGAAGUCCAUCAUGUCAUUCUCUGCCGUGGAAGCUGGAGACCCUGAACGCUGGCGGCCAUCUUGCGUGGCCUGUGAGGAUUGGGAUGCCGCGAACAUGUCGGCAACAUUUUGGGAGAAAUCCUGCUGCACUCCUAGUUUCUUACGACGUGGCUUAGGUAGGACAUUGAUAGAUGCGACUGUUGUGUUUGUGAGUUGUGAUGCUGUUUGCAGUUGCUUGAUUGCCCGUGGAUACACGGGAGCCCUCAAGCUAUGCGGCCAUCAAGGUUGCAAUCUCUAGAUCCUAUGUUUUAUAUUCAGAAAUCAUUGUAGUAUAGUGCUGUAUAUUAGAGCUGUUCUCCAAAGCCAUAUUGUUCCUAGGUAAUUCAGAACAGGUCGUAGGUGUGAUGAGAACGAAGUAUUAAAAAAAAAAAAACUAAUUUGCAGCCAUUUUCAAAUCAUGCUUUUGUAAAUGCUCAAUAGCUAUUUUCUGCCUUGCUAACAUACUUGAAAUUGUAUCAUUGCUCAAGUGUUUAACAGAUUUCUGGAUGAUUUCUCAUUGGGAUGGAAUGUGAAAUGUCCAAUGCACCCCCUGAUGAAAAAUACAUUAAAAGUAAAAAUAGAUCUUGGGGGGGGCGGGGCCUGACUGCGGAAUGGAGCAGACGCAAGCUGCAACAGCUCCUGCAUUUUACUGCUAACUAUACCGAAUUUUCAUGGAGCAGAGCCCGCAAACAGGCACAAUCUUACCUACUCGUGAACGGGGACUUUCUGCCCUCCAAGCUGAUACCACACAAGUGGACUACCUCGCCGGCUCCAACCUUGCGGCCUAGCAGCAUGGUCGCCUGGGGGAGACGGCCGCUUUCCCGCCGCCACAGCUCACUGCAGACUCCGGAUUGGGCUCCUGUUCCCUCCCCCCCUAUGGACCGGCAGGGGUCAUCCCAGUCCCCACCGACCCGGCACUCACAAAGUAUCAAGCUCCUAUUGCCUGCUGCGACGUGGGCUCCGACUACACCGGGCCGCUCAAAAUGGCGGACACUAGCCGUUCAUCAAGGCCUGUGCCCACGCAGUCUCUAAUCACACGACUAGACUCAAUACUCACCCAAUACUGGGAGAAGCUGGAGGAGCGCUCCAAGGCUCAAUUUCCUCCUGACCGGGGAAAGAAAGGAGAGGGACCGGAGACAAGGAGGCGGAAUGGGCCUGUCUCAGGCACAGCACUUUGCACAGCAUAUGACCCACGCAUCAAAAACCUACGCGGGCUGAGGGUCAUCUGGAGUCCCCCUAAGCAGCAUCACCCGGAGGGCCGCCUGCCGCAGGUGGCGGAAGAUCAGGACCUCCCACGGCGCCCACACAGGGAAGAGACCCGGUCCCACGGAGUUCCCGAGUCAGCCGGAAACAAAUGCCAACAUCAUAUCAGGCCUGGGGCUGCAGAGAGGCCUCUUCCUGCCCUCAGCUUACCACCAUGCUCCGAGAUCUUCAAGCAUCAGCUUCCUGCUUGCCAAACACGGGGAUCGGCUGACAGCAUGGUCGGAGGACAUGAUCCGGUCUGUCACUUAAAGAGAACUUUCCUCAGUUCCAAACAGGCAGACUUUGACUCAUUGCACUCACUAGCACUCCACCCCCAUUAUGUCUCACUAGCCCGACUAUUUUACACCAAUAUCACUGUACUAAUAGCACAGGCUGCCAGCGACCAAAAUGCCCACACAGUGAGCCAUGCCCCAAGUUGCCUUAAUUUCACUGUUGAAAUCACUAUGCCCCUUUGGCAACUUUAUAUAGGAGCCUUGAUACACUAUAAUACACGCUAGCCGAUCAGGUUGUUCUAAACACCUUACAUGGGCCUACUAAUGUCCUAUCUUAACAUGACUAACUACUGUAUAGAUACGCAGUCUCUCUAAGCAUACUACUACACACAUAGUUUAGCCAAUGUAUCGUUUACUAAGAAUGUCUUAUUUUACAAUGCCUAGCUCACGAAAACAUAGUUUGACACACUAUGACUUUAGCGAGUUAACUCGUAUAUAGGCAAUCAAUUCCUAACUUAAUCUAUCAACAUGGCGAAUCGCAUGAGCUUGUUUAACUCUUAACAUGUUACCUGUUCUGAUUAUAAAAAAAAUGUGCAAUGUUUUUCAAUGCCAUACUAACGAUAUCGUAGGUCUACAUAUUGGCUUGCACCAGCUAUUGUGGCAGUGCAAACAUGGUUGUUCACACUAUGCAUGAAUAAAAUAAAGAAUUUAAAAAAAAAAA
Molecule: non-coding RNA, 13004 nt
Organism: Pelobates cultripes (western spadefoot toad)
Lineage: Eukaryota; Metazoa; Chordata; Amphibia; Anura; Pelobatidae
Source: the annotation of a GenBank genome assembly